GCCAUGGGGAUGGCGAUCUCCUCACGAGGCUCCGGCCGAAGCAUCGCGUCCAAUCUGCUUCACUGCACGGACGCGCCAUG
Molecule: regulatory RNA element, 80 nt
Organism: Methylobacterium nodulans ORS 2060
Lineage: Bacteria; Pseudomonadati; Pseudomonadota; Alphaproteobacteria; Hyphomicrobiales; Methylobacteriaceae
Rfam family: chrB-a RNA
Source: Rfam